GUGAAUCAUCGAGUCUUUUGAACGCACCUUGCGCUCCUUGGUAUUCCGAGGAGCAUGCCUGUUUGAGUGUCAUUAAUGUAUCAACCUUGUGUUGGAUGUGGGGGUUCUUUUUGUUGGCCUUUGAGGUCAGCUCCCCUGAAAUGUAUUAGCAGAACAGUCAGUCCUGUCAUUGGUGUGAUAAAAGCUAUCUACGCUAAUUGACAGUGAAGCCAGGUUCAGCUUUCUAACAGUCCAUUUGACUUGGACAAGCUCCUUUCAUUUAAUGUGACCUUCAAAUCAGGUAUGGACUACCCGCUGAACUUAAGCAUAUCAAUAAGCGGAGG
Molecule: ribosomal RNA, 323 nt
Filed under: uncultured fungus
Lineage: Eukaryota; Fungi
Description: eukaryotic LSU rRNA
Rfam family: 5.8S ribosomal RNA (bases 1-72)
Source: RNAcentral